This 692-nucleotide small RNA is filed under the name Pan troglodytes (chimpanzee). RNAcentral's name for it is "processed transcript". The record is from RNAcentral. Lineage: Eukaryota; Metazoa; Chordata; Mammalia; Primates; Hominidae.
GCGCUCAGGCGGCGCUCCCGGAGAUGCCCCGCGGCAGCCGCGCUCUAGGCUCUAAGAGAAAAAGGAGUUGGAAUACAGAAUGCCCAUCCUUUCCAGGAGAAAGACCACUGCAGGUCAGAAGAGCAGGUCUCAGGACAGCAGGGGCAGCUGCCUCUCUCUCUGAAGCAUGGCUCAGGUGUGGAGAAGGGUUUCAGAACACUUCUGGGAAUCCGUCAUUAACAGCUGAAGAGAAGACGAUUACAGAAAAGCACCUUGAAUUAUGCCCUAGACCCAAGCAAGAAACCACCACAUCUAAAAGCACCAGUGGGCUUACAGACAUAACAUGGAGCUCCAGUGGAAGUGAUUUGUCGGAUGAAGAUAAGACACUUUCUCAGUUACAGAGAGAUGAAUUACAGUUUAUCGACUGGGAGAUUGACAGUGACAGGGCAGAGGCUAGUGACUGUAAUGAAUUUGAAGAUGACGAGGGUGCUGUGGAAAUCUCAGACUGUGCUUCUUGUGCAAGUAAUCAGUCUUUGACAAGUGAUGAGAAGCUGUCGGAGCUUCCCAAGAUAUUUUUCAGGUAGAUAUCCCUUUGGUUGCAAAUAACAGGAACCAAAUGUAGCUGGUUUUAAAAGAAGAGAAAAUUCACUAGAACAGUACUGCAAAUCUUGAGUAACUUAAGAUAAAGUUGAAGGAUGAACUGAACCUUGGGG